Molecule: ribosomal RNA, 435 nt
Filed under: Triticum aestivum (bread wheat)
Lineage: Eukaryota; Viridiplantae; Streptophyta; Magnoliopsida; Poales; Poaceae
Description: partial small subunit ribosomal RNA
Source: RNAcentral
AUGGCAUAUACCCAGAAUGGGCUGCUCAUCAAGACAAUUCCACUCCCCCAAACAGAAAAGGACAAUCAGUUUACACAACUUCAAGAAGGAGCUAGGAAGGAUAUAGAACGUGCAUUCGGGGUCUUGCAAUCUCGCUUCUCCAUUGUGCGUCGUCCAGCACGAUUAUGUUCACAGGCAUCUAUUGGAAAUAUUAUGCAAGCAUGCAUCAUUCUUCACAAUAUGAUAGUUGAAGAUGAGAGGGAAAUGGUCACCACUCCUCUUGACUUGCAUGAGACUCCACGGUCAUCAGUUGUUUUACCUCCAGAAAUGAAAGUGGGUGGUAACACAUGCUUUGCUGAUGUUCUUCGGAGAAAUGCUGGAAUUCGUGAUCGCUCAACACAUAUGCAACUCAAGAGGGACUUGGUUGAGCACAUUUGGAAGAGAUUUGGCAAUUAG